UUAUAAAAAAAUUACAUUAAUAAAUAUACAUUUAAUCCGACAGCUCGACAAUUUAUUUUACAAUUUAAAUAAAAAUAUUUGUUUUGAUAGUAACCAAAAAAAAAAAGGUCAAGAAACAAUGAUGUAUCAGAAAGUGGGUCAAACUAAGAGUAAUAAAAUUUAAAUAGUACAGUAUGCAAACUAAAUGAUACAACAAAAGAAAGUUGUGUAGAAUUCACCAUGACUUGUGAUAAAGAAAUAAAUGAUUUGAAAUUAAAAUAAACACCUAUUUCUAAUUAAAUUAUUCCAACAUAAUAUAUCUGAUGAGAAAUUGAAAAAUUAAUCAACCUUAAAGAGAAAUUAAAAAGCCAUUUAGCGUUCGUUGGAGGAAAUUGAUUAGUGUGUCGACAUUUAAAAAGUCCCAACUGUCAAGAAAGCAUCAACAACAGCUUGAGAGUCAUUUAUAUAGGAGAAUCAACUCUUGAGACCGUUAGAGGUAUACGCUAAUGAUGCUACAUCGACGACAAACCGGAAGUAAUUCUUGACGAUAAAGCAAACAAGAAACAUUCAUGUGCAGCAUAGCGUGGCGCGAAACUAUCGGCUAACGAUGAACCAGUCGUGUAGUCAAGUAUGUCCAGGUGAUGGUUUAUGUGCAAGACAACUGAAUCUGAAUAUGAUUUAUUGGGUGAACUCAGGAAGAACUUGAGACGUUGCAACAGGAAUACACACAUCCCCCAUUCAUAUAUCAUCACUAUUUCUAAUUUAUAUACAAAAAAGCUUUUAUUUAUAUGAUUAGGCAUAUUUUUAUUGUUAUUUUAUAUAUAUCAUUUUUUUUUCACACUUGGAAAAUCUCAAAGUGUAUUUGUAUCAUGGUAAUAAUUCAUCAUAAUGUAGAAAUAAGGAGAAUACAUGUAGACUAUCUGUUAUAUGAUUUGACAACAUAACUAGAGUUAAGAUGGAUAUUUCUCGCUAGAAGAAGCACAUCUAUUGCUUAAUUGCAGUCAUUCAACUAAGUUGUUUAGAAUAAAACACUAUUAUUUACCAAGCUUAUUGAAGUAUGGAAGGUGUUAAAAAAACUGGACUGGAUCCACAUAUACCCGCAAGGAUGAUUGGGAAAAAAAGUUACAGCCUAUGGUCUCUCAGACGAUGGUUCUCAGCUUGGGAUUCCUACUUGGAUAACGGAUUUACGAGUAAAGAGUCCACCAGUUAAGACUACUUUAUCCCUCUGGCUAAUAAUAAGAACGAGUUUAUAUAAGAAUAAAAUACGCUUUGUCUUAUUACCCACCACCCUUUCCUCAGGCUAAAGACAUGCCUAGUCAUUUACUCAUCAUUUUUCAAUUAUGAAUUUUAAAACAUUUGGAGACAAAUACUUAGCAGUGGAAUAAUAUGUUGAUUGAAUAUCAAAUCAAAUGAAAUCAAUUCAUUCAGUCAUAAGAAUGUAAGAACAAUAGAUCUUUCAAGUGAAUAAGAUUCAACAAAGCUAUCUACUCCGUAUCUUCAUAUGCUAACAUAUGAACGUACAAACAAAUAUAUUUACAGUUGAAUGUAUAAUUUAGAACAUCAUCAUUUUCUCAAGUUUCUGAGCAUUAAAUUCAAGAUAAAAAGCAAGAAACUAGAAAAAAGAUGCAUUUUGAAUCCGUUACAUUGAAUAUUUAGUGGGAGAAUUCUAACGUCCUCCCACGUAAUUGAUGAUGAGUUAGCAUAUUGCAAAAUGAUGAGAGUCAUGACAUAGACAAUCAAAUAUUUUUUUUUGAGAUCAUUUUCUAUUCUCUCGAUAUGCAUUAUUGUUUUCUUAUUUCAUUCGAGACAAAGUAACUGU
Chelonus insularis is the source of this 1798-nucleotide long non-coding RNA. RefSeq lists it as uncharacterized. Lineage: Eukaryota; Metazoa; Arthropoda; Insecta; Hymenoptera; Braconidae. The transcript has 3 exons. The record is from RefSeq and is a predicted model, not a curated record.